GACGAACGCUGGCGGCGUGCUUAACACAUGCAAGUCGAACGGGAAGGCCCUGCUUUUGUGGGGUGCUCGAGUGGCGAACGGGUGAGUAACACGUGAGUAACCUGCCCUUGACUUUGGGAUAACUUCAGGAAACUGGGGCUAAUACCGGAUAGGAGCUCCUGCUGCAUGGUGGGGGUUGGAAAGUUUCGGCGGUUGGGGAUGGACUCGCGGCUUAUCAGCUUGUUGGUGGGGUAGUGGCUUACCAAGGCUUUGACCGGUAGCCGGCCUGAGAGGGUGACCGGCCACAUUGGGACUGAGAUACGGCCCAGACUCCUACGGGAGGCAGCAGUGGGGAAUAUUGCACAAUGGGCGGAAGCCUGAUGCAGCAACGCCGCGUGCGGGAUGAAGGCCUUCGGGUUGUAAACCGCUUUCGCCUGUGACGAAGCGUGAGUGACGGUAAUGGGUAAAGAAGCACCGGCUAACUACGUG
RNAcentral lists this ribosomal RNA (468 nucleotides) under uncultured bacterium. RNAcentral describes it as "partial 16S ribosomal RNA". It matches the Rfam family "Bacterial small subunit ribosomal RNA", at positions 28 to 507 of the family's 1533-position model. The record is from RNAcentral.